GCAUUGUGACGAGAAACCGCUGAGCGUGACCGCCCUUCCCUCAAGGAGUUGGCUUUUAGCCUCACGGCCGGUUUCUGUUGGAAAAGCUGGCUGUGAGGCACCGUGCCCGAACCUCCCAGCACCUUCCUUGAUGCUCACUCCUGCUCAGCCCCUCAGUUAAGGGGCUGCACUACACCUGGUCCGCAGGAGGCCUCGGCCGGAACUCGCUUUCAGGUGAGUCUACAAUUAGUUGGGAAACAACGGGUUGCAACGCCGACCUGGUCUGGGACAUGAAGAGGGGUGAACUACCAGGGUUUCAAGGUUGGAGGGGCGUUAGGUCGGGUCUCCGGGGGCGUGGGGUUGAGGCUGGGUUAUUCCACAAAUUGCAUCCCAAUUUUGCACAACUGAGCAAGAAAACCCUCCUCAGCCUUCCUUGAAACUAACAUUAAGGUAGUGGUUAGGUGUUAAAAACUGUUCCAUGUACUUGACUGGUUUUACUUGACAACCGUAUGAGGUUGUCAAGUAAAUACAUGAGAAACCUGCAUCCCACAGAAGUUAAACUUGCUCAAGGCCAUUGUGGUACUUGGAGUUUUGCAGCCUCUCAUUUUCCACAGGUGGAAGUCAUCGCUGGCCAGGCACACACUGCACACCCACACAGAACCCAGUUCUUCAGUGGAGUAUCAGCACACCACAUAGCCCUUAAUUUUCAACUAUACAGGUGCCAGGCUCCUGCUGCACACACUCAUCCACCUGCACCUACACCCACACUGAACCAGAGCACUAAAAUACAAGGAAACUUUUAUUUUCAAUUUUCAUCAAGAAAUUUGCUGUGGUUUUUUAUGCUUUUGGUUUUUUUUUUUUUUUUCCACUUUAUUUCAUUUAGCCGCUCAGUGGCUAGAGCCGCUGGGUUCCUGGUAUUAAAAAGAUGCCAACAGAGGUAGCUGUGUCUCGCCCAGGGGCCCAGCCCACUCUGAAUACCCCCAAAAAAGGAGAAAACACAAAAUAAACC
Long non-coding RNA from Cercocebus atys (sooty mangabey), 988 nucleotides. RefSeq lists it as uncharacterized. The record is from RefSeq and is a predicted model, not a curated record. Lineage: Eukaryota; Metazoa; Chordata; Mammalia; Primates; Cercopithecidae. The transcript is spliced from 2 exons.